RNAcentral lists this ribosomal RNA (535 nucleotides) under Bifidobacterium pseudolongum subsp. globosum. Its description in RNAcentral is "bacterial SSU rRNA". It matches the Rfam family "Bacterial small subunit ribosomal RNA", at positions 160 to 696 of the family's 1533-position model. Lineage: Bacteria; Bacillati; Actinomycetota; Actinomycetes; Bifidobacteriales; Bifidobacteriaceae. The record is from RNAcentral.
GUGGUAAUGCCGGAUGUUCCACAUGAGCGCAUGCGAGUGUGGGAAAGGCUUUUUGCGGCAUGGGAUGGGGUCGCGUCCUAUCAGCUUGUUGGUGGGGUAACGGCCUACCAAGGCGUUGACGGGUAGCCGGCCUGAGAGGGCGACCGGCCACAUUGGGACUGAGAUACGGCCCAGACUCCUACGGGAGGCAGCAGUGGGGAAUAUUGCACAAUGGGCGCAAGCCUGAUGCAGCGACGCCGCGUGCGGGAUGGAGGCCUUCGGGUUGUAAACCGCUUUUGUUCAAGGGCAAGGCACGGUCUUUGGCCGUGUUGAGUGGAUUGUUCGAAUAAGCACCGGCUAACUACGUGCCAGCAGCCGCGGUAAUACGUAGGGUGCAAGCGUUAUCCGGAUUUAUUGGGCGUAAAGGGCUCGUAGGCGGUUCGUCGCGUCCGGUGUGAAAGUCCAUCGCUUAACGGUGGAUCGCGCCGGGUACGGGCGGGCUUGAGUGCGGUAGGGGAGACUGGAAUUCCCGGUGUAACGGUGGAAUGUGUAGAUA